Molecule: ribosomal RNA, 858 nt
Filed under: Nematoplana coelogynoporoides
Lineage: Eukaryota; Metazoa; Platyhelminthes; Proseriata; Nematoplanidae
Description: eukaryotic LSU rRNA
Rfam family: Eukaryotic large subunit ribosomal RNA
Source: RNAcentral
CUAACACGGACCAAGGAGUCUAACAUGUGCGCGAGUCAUGGGGUGUUACGAAACCCAAAGGCGCAGUGAAAGUAAAGACCUGUAUUGGCAGGUUGAGGUGAGAUCUCGGUUCCGCGUUGUCGGGCUGAGCGCAUCACCGGCCCGUCCCAUGAUGUUCUGCAUCGGGGCGGAGCAAGAGCGUACACGUUGGGACCCGAAAGAUGGUGAACUAUGCUUGCGCAGGUCGAAGCCAGAGGAAACUCUGGUGGAGGACCGUAGCGAUUCUGACGUGCAAAUCGAUCGUCAAACGUGAGUAUAGGGGCGAAAGACUAAUCGAACCAUCUAGUAGCUGGUUCCCUCCGAAGUUUCCCUCAGGAUAGCUAGCACUCGGGGAACAAACAGUUUUAUCCGGUAAAGCGAAUGAUUAGAGGUCUUGGGGUCGAAAUGACCUCAACCUAUUCUCAAACUUUAAAUGGGUGAGAAGCCUGACUCGCUUAAUUGGAGCCAGGCAUCGAAUGUGAGUGCUCAGUGGGCCAUUUUUGGUAAGCAGAACUGGCGCUGUGGGAUGAACCACACGUUCGGUUAAGGUGCCUAACACGGACGCUCAUCAGAUACCACACAAGGUGUUGGUUGAUAUAGACAGCAGGACGGUGUCCAUGGAAGUCGGAAUCCGCUAAGGAGUGUGUAACAACUCACCUGCCGAAUCAACCAGCCCUGAAAAUGGAUGGCGCUGGAGCGUUGGACCUAUACCGAACUGUCACCGCAAGCCGCGCGAGGAAGCGGUGACAAGUAGGAGGGUCGCCGUGGUGAGCUUUGAAGCUGCGGGCGUGAGGCCGGGUGGAGCCGCCACGGGUGCAGAUCUUGGUGGUAGUAGUACAU